This 159-nucleotide unclassified non-coding RNA is filed under the name uncultured Nectriaceae. RNAcentral describes it as "sequence contains ITS2". The record is from RNAcentral. Lineage: Eukaryota; Fungi; Ascomycota; Sordariomycetes; Hypocreales; Nectriaceae.
CAACCCUCAAGCCCCCGGGUUUGGUGUUGGGGAUCGGGCUGUACUCCAGCCCGGCCCCGAAAUCUAGUGGCGGUCUCGCUGCAGCCUCCAUUGCGUAGUAGCUAACACCUCGCAACUGGAACGCGGCGCGGCCAAGCCGUUAAACCCCCAACUUCUGAA